GGGUUGUGAGGUUAAGCGACUAAGCGUACACGGUGGAUGCCCUGGCAGUCAGAGGCGAUGAAGGGCGUGCUAAUCUGCGAUAAGCGCCGGUAAGGUGAUAUGAACCGUUAUAACCGGCGAUACCCGAAUGGGGAAACCCAGUGUGACUCGUCACACUAUCAUUAACUGAAUCCAUAGGUUAAUGAGGCGAACCGGGGGAACUGAAACAUCUAAGUACCCCGAGGAAAAGAAAUCAACCGAGAUUCCCCCAGUAGCGGCGAGCGAACGGGGAGGAGCCCAGAGCCUGAAUCAGCAUGUGUGUUAGUGGAAGCGUCUGGAAAGGCGCGCGAUACAGGGUGACAGCCCCGUACACAAAAGCGCAUGUGCUGUGAGCUCGAUGAGUAGGGCGGGACACGUGGUAUCCUGUCUGAAUAUGGGGGGACCAUCCUCCAAGGCUAAAUACUCCUGACUGACCGAUAGUGAACCAGUACCGUGAGGGAAAGGCGAAAAGAACCCCGGCGAGGGGAGUGAAAAAGAACCUGAAACCGUGUACGUACAAGCAGUGGGAGCCCCACCACCAAAGCAUUAUCUGGUGUUGAAGGCCCUGCAAAGCAGCAUCGCGGUGGCGGAGCGUCGUUUGCGACGCCCAACACACAAAACAAGCGGUGAAUGCUUUGGGGUGGGGUGACUGCGUACCUUUUGUAUAAUGGGUCAGCGACUUAUAUUCUGUAGCAAGGUUAACCGAAUAGGGGAGCCGGAGGGAAACCGAGUCUUAAUUGGGCGUUAAGUUGCAGGGUAUAGACCCGAAACCCGGUGAUCUAGCCAUGGGCAGGUUGAAGGUUGGGUAACACUAACUGGAGGACCGAACCGACUAAUGUUGAAAAAUUAGCGGAUGACCUGUGGCUGGGGGUGAAAGGCCAAUCAAACCGGGAGAUAGCUGGUUCUCCCCGAAAGCUAUUUAGGUAGAUCCUCGUGAAUUCAGCACCGGGGUAGAGCACUGUUUCGGCUAGGGGGCCAUCCCGGCUUACCAACCCGAUGCAAACUGCGAAUACCGGAGAAUGUUAUCACGGGAGACACACGGCGGGUGCUAACGUCCGUCGUGAAGAGGGAAACAACCCAGACCGCCAGCUAAGGUCCCAAAGUCAUGGUUAAGUGGGAAACGAUGUGGGAAGGCCCAGACAGCCAGGAUGUUGGCUUAGAAGCAGCCAUCAUUUAAAGAAAGCGUAAUAGCUCACUGGUCGAGUCGGCCUGCGCGGAAGAUGUAACGGGGCUAAACCAUGCACCGAAGCUGCGGCAGCGACGCUGAUGCGUUGUUGGGUAGGGGAGCGUUCUGUAAGCCUGCGAAGGUGACCUGUGAGGGUUGCUGGAGGUAUCAGAAGUGCGAAUGCUGACAUAAGUAACGAUAAAGCGGGUGAAAAGCCCGCUCGCCGGAAGACCAAGGGUUCCUGUCCAACGUUAAUCGGGGCAGGGUGAGUCGACCCCUAAGGCGAGGCCGAAAGGCGUAGUCGAUGGGAAACGGGUUAAUAUUCCCGUACUUGGUGUUACUGCGAAGGGGGGACGGAGAAGGCUAUGUUGGCCGGGCGACGGUUGUCCCGGUUUAAGCGUGUAGGUGUGUGUUCCAGGUAAAUCCGGUUCACUUUAACACUGAGGCGUGAUGACGAGGCACUACGGUGCUGAAGCAACAAAUGCCCUGCUUCCAGGAAAAGCCUCUAAGCAUCAGGUAACAUCAAAUCGUACCCCAAACCGACACAGGUGGUCAGGUAGAGAAUACCAAGGCGCUUGAGAGAACUCGGGUGAAGGAACUAGGCAAAAUGGUGCCGUAACUUCGGGAGAAGGCACGCUGACACGUAGGUGAAGUGAUUUACUCACGGAGCUGAAGUCAGUCGAAGAUACCAGCUGGCUGCAACUGUUUAUUAAAAACACAGCACUGUGCAAACACGAAAGUGGACGUAUACGGUGUGACGCCUGCCCGGUGCCGGAAGGUUAAUUGAUGGGGUCAGCGCAAGCGAAGCUCCUGAUCGAAGCCCCGGUAAACGGCGGCCGUAACUAUAACGGUCCUAAGGUAGCGAAAUUCCUUGUCGGGUAAGUUCCGACCUGCACGAAUGGCGUAAUGAUGGCCAGGCUGUCUCCACCCGAGACUCAGUGAAAUUGAACUCGCUGUGAAGAUGCAGUGUACCCGCGGCAAGACGGAAAGACCCCGUGAACCUUUACUAUAGCUUGACACUGAACAUUGAGCCUUGAUGUGUAGGAUAGGUGGGAGGCUUUGAAGUGUGGACGCCAGUCUGCAUGGAGCCGACCUUGAAAUACCACCCUUUAAUGUUUGAUGUUCUAACGUGGACCCGUAAUCCGGGUUGCGGACAGUGUCUGGUGGGUAGUUUGACUGGGGCGGUCUCCUCCUAAAGAGUAACGGAGGAGCACGAAGGUUGGCUAAUCUGGUCGGACAUCAGGAGGUUAGCGCAAGGGCAUAAGCCAGCUUGACUGAGAGCGUGACUGCGCGAGCAGGUGCGAAAGCAGGUCAUAGUGAUCCGGUGGUUCUGAAUGGAAGGGCCAUCGCUCAACGGAUAAAAGGUACUCCGGUGAUAACAGGCUGAUAUCGCCCAAGAGUUCAUAUCGCCGGCGGUGUUUGGCACCUCGAUGUCGGCUCAUCACAUCCUGGGGCUGAAGUAGGUCCCAAGGGUAUGGCUGUUCGCCAUUUAAAGUGGUACGCGAGCUGGGUUUAGAACGUCGUGAGACAGUUCGGUCCCUAUCUGCCGUGGGCGCUGGAGAACUGAGGGGGGCUGCUCCUAGUACGAGAGGACCGGAGUGGACGCAUCACUGGUGUUCGGGUUGUCAUGCCAAUGGCACUGCCCGGUAGCUAAAUGCGGAAGAGAUAAGUGCUGAAAGCAUCUAAGCACGAAACUUGCCCCGAGAUGAGUUCUCCCUGAGACUUUAGGUCUCCUGAAGGAACGUUGAAGACGACGACGUUGAUAGGCCGGGUGUGUAAGCGCAGCGAUGCGUUGAGCUAACCGGUACUAAUGAACCGUGAGGCUUAACCUUACAACGCCGAAG
RNAcentral lists this ribosomal RNA (3027 nucleotides) under Salmonella enterica subsp. enterica serovar Rough O:-:-. Its description in RNAcentral is "23S ribosomal RNA". It matches the Rfam family "Bacterial large subunit ribosomal RNA". Lineage: Bacteria; Pseudomonadati; Pseudomonadota; Gammaproteobacteria; Enterobacterales; Enterobacteriaceae. The record is from RNAcentral.